UUUGAGGGGACUGUUGUCUGGCUCGAGGACUCUUAUUCUAAUACAAUCUCAUUUGAAUACAUUCAGAUCUGAUGAUUGAUUAGGGUUUUAGUGUCGUCGGACCAGGCUUCAUUCCCCCCAAU
Molecule: microRNA precursor, 122 nt
Organism: Arabidopsis thaliana (thale cress)
Lineage: Eukaryota; Viridiplantae; Streptophyta; Magnoliopsida; Brassicales; Brassicaceae
Rfam family: mir-166 microRNA precursor family
About the family: This family represents the plant microRNA (miRNA) precursor mir-166. Animal miRNAs are transcribed as ~70nt precursors and subsequently processed by the Dicer enzyme to give a ~22nt product. In plants the precursor sequences may be longer, and the carpel factory (caf) enzyme appears to be involved in processing.
Source: Rfam